UGGGGAAUUUUGGACAAUGGGCGCAAGCCUGAUCCAGCAAUGCCGCGUGAGUGAAGAAGGCCUUCGGGUUGUAAAGCUCUUUUGUCAGGGAAGAAACGGGAGUGGCUAAUAUCCAUUCUUAAUGACGGUACCUGAAGAAUAAGCACCGGCUAACUACGUGCCAGCAGCCGCGGUAAUACGUAGGGUGCAAGCGUUAAUCGGAAUUACUGGGCGUAAAGCGUGCGCAGGCGGUUUUGUAAGUCUGACGUGAAAUCCCCUGGCUCAACCUGGGAAUUGCGUUGGAGACUGCAAGGCUAGAAUCUGGCAGAGGGGGGUAGAGUUCCACGUGUAGCAGUGAAAUGCGUAGAGAUGUGGAGGAACACCGAUGGCGAAGGCAGCCCCCUGGGUCAAGAUUGACGCUCAUGCACGAAAGCGUGGGGAGCAAACAGGAUUAGAUACCCUGGUAGUCCACGCCCUAAACGAUGUCUACUAGUUGUCGGGUUUUAAUUAACUUGGUAACGCAGCUAACGCGUGAAGUAGACCGCCUGGGGAGUACGGUCGCAAGAUUAA
This 549-nucleotide ribosomal RNA is filed under the name uncultured Massilia sp. Its description in RNAcentral is "bacterial SSU rRNA". It matches the Rfam family "Bacterial small subunit ribosomal RNA", at positions 355 to 897 of the family's 1533-position model. The record is from RNAcentral. Lineage: Bacteria; Pseudomonadati; Pseudomonadota; Betaproteobacteria; Burkholderiales; Oxalobacteraceae.